Molecule: ribosomal RNA, 398 nt
Filed under: uncultured bacterium
Lineage: Bacteria
Description: partial 16S ribosomal RNA
Rfam family: Bacterial small subunit ribosomal RNA
Source: RNAcentral
AAUAUUGCGCAAUGGGGGAAACCCUGACGCAGCGACGCCGCGUGAACGAUGAAGGCCUUCGGGUCGUAAAGUUCUGUCCUCAGGGAAGAAUAAAUGACGGUACCUGAGGAGGAAGCCCCGGCUAACUCCGUGCCAGCAGCCGCGGUAAUACGGAGGGGGCUAGCGUUGUUCGGAUUUACUGGGCGUAAAGGGCGCGUAGGCGGAUGUUCGCGUCAGAGGUGAAAGCCCCGGGCUCAACCUGGGAACUGCCUUUGAAACGGGACAUCUUGAGUUCGGGAGAGGGUAGCGGAAUUCCCAGUGUAGAGGUGAAAUUCGUAGAUAUUGGGAAGAACACCGGUGGCGAAGGCGGCUACCUGGCCCGAUACUGACGCUGAGGCGCGAAAGCGUAGGGAGCAAAC